This 231-nucleotide long non-coding RNA is filed under the name Elaeis guineensis (African oil palm). RNAcentral's name for it is "long non-coding RNA (EGUI_LNC032497)". Lineage: Eukaryota; Viridiplantae; Streptophyta; Magnoliopsida; Arecales; Arecaceae. The record is from RNAcentral.
ACUUAGGCACUCAAUCAUCUCGAUCAUAUACAAUACAUGAUCAGUGACUGAUGCUCCUUCCUUCAUUCGAGUGUUGAAGAUAGCAUAACUAGUCUUAUGCCUCUCAACGUCGUCGGGUGUGCUAAAGGACUCGUUCAACAUUUGCAACAUAUCCUAUGGCUGAGCAUUCUUGAAAUGAUGGCUAAACUCAUCAUUCAUCACCACCAGCAUAAUACAAUGAAUCGUAGUUCG